UACUUGGUCAAAGCUCCUCAGUGUUGGAUAGAUGCCUGAGAGGUUCUGAACAAGUAUA
Molecule: microRNA precursor, 58 nt
Filed under: Monopterus albus (swamp eel)
Lineage: Eukaryota; Metazoa; Chordata; Actinopteri; Synbranchiformes; Synbranchidae
Description: Mal-Mir-7132-P1_pre stem-loop
Source: RNAcentral